This 253-nucleotide ribosomal RNA is filed under the name uncultured bacterium. Its description in RNAcentral is "partial 16S ribosomal RNA". It matches the Rfam family "Bacterial small subunit ribosomal RNA", at positions 524 to 776 of the family's 1533-position model. The record is from RNAcentral.
UACGUAGGGUGCGAGCGUUGUCCGGAAUUACUGGGCGUAAAGAGCUCGUAGGCGGUUUGUCGCGUCGGCUGUGAAAUCCCGAGGCUCAACCUCGGGCCUGCAGUCGAUACGGGCAAACUAGAGUGUGGUAGGGGAGACUGGAAUUCCUGGUGUAGCGGUGAAAUGCGCAGAUAUCAGGAGGAACACCGGCGGCGAAGGCGGGUCUCUGGGCCAUAACUGACGCUGAGGAGCGAAAGCGUGGGGAGCGAACAGG